This 1143-nucleotide long non-coding RNA is filed under the name Homo sapiens (human). RNAcentral's name for it is "HSALNT0292272". Lineage: Eukaryota; Metazoa; Chordata; Mammalia; Primates; Hominidae. The record is from RNAcentral.
GGUGUCAUCUGUGUGACAAAUCCCUAAAGUAGUCCCUCAUCAGAUCCCGCUUGAGAGCAGCAUUUGCAGGAGGGCUUGUGGGGUUGCAGAUGGGGUCAGUGGAAAUGGAACAGAAUUAAUGGGAUACACAGACCUAGUCAGAAGCCUCAUUGUGCCUGAGCUUUAUUCCUCUAUCCCUGUGGUGAAGCUGGUGUUGGCUGUUCACUCUGUGGUGCAAUUCUGGCUCCAAAAUAGACUGUCUCUCUCUCUUUUUUUUUUUUUAGACGGAGUUUCGCUCGUUGCCCAGACUGGAGUGCAAUGGCGCGAUCUUGGCUCAACGCAACCUCCGCCUCCGGGUUUAAGCAAUUCUCCUGCCUCAGCCUCCCGAGUAGCUGGGAUUACAGGCAUGUGCCACCACACGCAGCUAAUUUUGUAUUUUUAGUAGAGACGGGGUUUCUCCAUGUUGGUCAGGCCAGUCUCGAACUUCCGACUUCGGGUGAUCUGCCCGCCUCGGCCUCCCAAAGUGCUGGGAUUACAGGCUUGAGCCACUGUGUUUGGCUCUGGACUGUCUCUUUAAAAGUCCUUCUGGUUGUAACUGAAGCAGUAACUGAAGCAGCCGCUGAAGCUGUUACUAGGGGCAACCUGGCAAGCCAUAGUGCAUUAAAUUAAAUUAAACAGGCUUGUGACUGCCCCCUCCCCUCCUGGAGAAGGGAGGGGGUAUUCCCCCUCUAUCCUGGAGAAUAAAGUUGCUGUGAAACCUCUUAUGGCUGCAAGGAAUUCAGUUACAGAGUUUAUGACUCCCAGAGGCAAGAUGUUUGGAGGCAGCCUGGGAGGAGGCUCACAGGACUUCUGCCAGAAGAGGAGUAUUUACAGUGAACCUGCCUGGGGUGGGUGGCCUCCGGUCAGGACACCCCCACCUUUCUCUCAUUCGAUCCUUAUCACAAUCCCGUGGGCUGGGGAUUCCGUGGUCUAUGAGAGAGGCUGGCCAGCGUAUCAGGAAACAGAGACUACAGAAAAAGCCACCGGCCCAGCCCCAUAGCCCAGGGCAGAAGUGCCAGGAUUCAAGUUCAGAUCUGCCUCCCUCCAAUGCCCCUGUUGUUUCCACCUCAUCAUGCUGACUCUGUGAAGGCUGACACUGCAGAAAUAAAAGUCACAAGGUGGCAG